RNAcentral lists this transfer RNA (86 nucleotides) under Megasphaera cerevisiae DSM 20462. It matches the Rfam family "tRNA". Rfam says of the family: Transfer RNA (tRNA) molecules are approximately 80 nucleotides in length. Their secondary structure includes four short double-helical elements and three loops (D, anti-codon, and T loops). Lineage: Bacteria; Bacillati; Bacillota; Negativicutes; Veillonellales; Veillonellaceae. The record is from Rfam by way of RNAcentral.
GGAGCGGUAUCGAAGUGGUCAUAACGGGGCUGACUCGAAAUCAGUUAGGCCGCAAGGUCUCGUGGGUUCGAAUCCCACCCGCUCCG